UUCAGCCAGGAGGGCGCUGAAGGGAUUUGAGCUGAGAGCAAGUCUCAAACUCAAGAGAAUGGAGGAGCUGCCCCGGAAGUGGCUGCUCGAGGCUGCAGUGAACUAUGAUCCUGCGGCCAGUCGCGGUGGCUCACGCCUGUAAUCCCAGCCCUCUGGGAGGCCGAGGCGGGCGGAUCGCUUGAGGUCAGAAGUUCGCGACUAGCCUGGCCAACAUGGUAAAACACCGUCUCUACAAAAAAAUGCAAAAAUUAGUUGGGUGUGGUGGCACGCGCCUGUGGUCCCAGCUACUCAGGAGGCUGAGGUGGGAGGAACGCCUGAGCCUGGGAGGCGGGUUACAGUGAGCCGAGAUCGCGCCACUGCACUCCAGCCUGGACGACAGAAUGAGACCCUGUCUCAAAAUAAAAUACAUGAGCCGA
Molecule: long non-coding RNA, 416 nt
Filed under: Pongo abelii (Sumatran orangutan)
Lineage: Eukaryota; Metazoa; Chordata; Mammalia; Primates; Hominidae
Description: lincRNA
Source: RNAcentral